AACGCUAGCUACAGGCUUAACACAUGCAAGUCGAGGGGUAACGAGAGGAACGCUUGCUUUCCUUGUCGACGACCGGCGCACGGGUGAGUAACGCGUAUCCAACCUGCCCCCAACUAGGGAAUAACCUUGCGAAAGUAAGACUAAUGCCCUAUAAUUUCCUCAGAUGUCAUCUGACGAGGAAUAAAGAUUUAUCGGUUGUGGAUGGGGAUGCGUCUGAUUAGCUUGUUGGCGGGGUAACGGCCCACCAAGGCAACGAUCAGUAGGGGUUCUGAGAGGAAGGUCCCCCACAUUGGAACUGAGACACGGUCCAAACUCCUACGGGAGGCAGCAGUGAGGAAUAUUGGUCAAUGGGCGGAAGCCUGAACCAGCCAAGUAGCGUGCAGGAUGACGGCCCUAUGGGUUGUAAACUGCUUUUAUACAGGAAUAAAGUUAGCCACGUGUGGUUAUUUGUAGGUACUGUAUGAAUAAGGACCGGCUAAUUCCGUGCCAGCAGCCGCGGUAAUACGGAAGGUCCAGGCGUUAUCCGGAUUUAUUGGGUUUAAAGGGAGCGUAGGCCGUCUGUUAAGCGUGUUGUGAAAUGUAGAUGCUCAACAUCUGAAUUGCAGCGCGAACUGGCAGACUUGAGUGUGCGCAACGUAGGCGGAAUUCGUGGUGUAGCGGUGAAAUGCUUAGAUAUCACGAAGAACUCCGAUUG
This 694-nucleotide ribosomal RNA is filed under the name uncultured bacterium. Its description in RNAcentral is "bacterial SSU rRNA". It matches the Rfam family "Bacterial small subunit ribosomal RNA", at positions 32 to 715 of the family's 1533-position model. The record is from RNAcentral.